AUUGAACGCUGGCGGCAUGCCUUACACAUGCAAGUCGAACGGCAGCACGGGAGCAAUCCUGGUGGCGAGUGGCGAACGGGUGAGUAAUAUAUCGGAACGUGCCCAGUCGUGGGGAUAACGUAGCGAAAGCUACGCUAAUACCGCAUACGAUCUAAGGAUGAAAGCGGGGGAUCGCAAGACCUCGCGCGAUUGGAGCGGCCGAUAUCAGAUUAGCUAGUUGGUGAGGUAAAGGCUCACCAAGGCGACGAUCUGUAGCUGGUCUGAGAGGACGACCAGCCACACUGGGACUGAGACACGGCCCAGACUCCUACGGGAGGCAGCAGUGGGGAAUUUUGGGACAAUGGGCGCAAGCCUGAUCCAGCAAUGCCGCGUGCAGGAUGAAGGCC
RNAcentral lists this ribosomal RNA (386 nucleotides) under uncultured bacterium. RNAcentral describes it as "bacterial SSU rRNA". It matches the Rfam family "Bacterial small subunit ribosomal RNA", at positions 29 to 416 of the family's 1533-position model. The record is from RNAcentral.